UUUAGGUAUGUGAGUACACUGUAGCUGUCUUCAGACACACCAGAAGAGGGCAUCGGAUCUCAUUACCGAUGAUUGUGAGCCGCCAUGUGAUUGCUGGGAAUUGAACUCAGGACCUCUGGAAGAGCAGCCAGGGCUCUUAACCACUGAACCAUCAUCUCUCCAGCCCACAUAAAGCCUUUCUUACUCUGAAGUGAAAUACAAGUGUCUGAGGCACGGGACACAGAUUUUAGGUUUUCCCAGAUAACAUGUCUGAUGGAACAAAAAAGUCAUAAAAUGACACACUUUUCAAAUCAAUUGGCAGGUAAAACAUGGAUGGAGGUGGGUUACAGGGACGUGUGGCCAAUUCUGUGGUAAGCCUUAGAUGUUGUCACACAGCAUCCUUAGCCCUUACAUUGGUGGAAACUAAGGGCCCACAUUCCAAAGGAUUUACCUUUGGAAUUUACCUUUGUUAGGUCACACACAGAGAAGGACAAGAGUGGCCAUUACAUAGGCUAAAGAUAUCCCAACACAGUUGGGGGUCUAGACUUGCAACAUUUCAACCUCCUCUCAUCACUGAAGUUCUCAUCUGUCCCCCAGCCUUUCUCUAGGAAUUCUUUCUUGUUCCCAUCUCUCAGAGACUCCAUACCAGAACAUACGGGAGGGAGGAGCAGGAAGUCCCUGAUUCGAAGGAUGCUCUGAGCCCAGCCUCCUUCUCCAUCCCUUCCUCCACCCGCUCCCUCAACUUCAGGACCUAUGACUGGAGACAGAGACCGUGCUCCAGACUUUGCAAUCAGAGAUGUUUUCACCCAAAGGUAAUGGACAUGCAGGACUUAGAAAGUCAAAGCUGGUCUCGGCUGGGGAGGUAAUCACACAGUCAAACUGGUUCAGCCAGACAGCCUGCCAAUUCUGGGUUUCUGCUCCGGGCUUCUAAAGGUGACCAAGCAAGUCCUCGGAUAAGAAUGCAAGUGAGCAAAAUAACAAAUUCUUCUGAUACGACCUUUUCUUUCUCUGAAACACGAUCUCACUGCCUAGCUCUUGCUAGCGUGAAACUCACUCUGUAGACCAGGCUAGCCUCUAACUCACGGAGAUCCGCCUGCUUCUUCCUCCCAAGCGAUGGGCUUUUGUUAGGAUAUAAUACCUUAGUCCUCAAAGUCUCCAGGAAGACAGACAGCAGAGGCCUGGACCUAGCUGUCCCUGGAGAAGCUGCAGGACAGGUGCAGCUAUAAUGGCCUGUGCAAGAAGGAAGCUUCCUGGAGCACACAUGCGGCCAGAAGCAUCAGAAGGGCCCACUGUGGUCCGGGCCAGCUCCUGUUACAAGUCAGAUGUUGGAGGGAUUUGAGAGAGUCACUUCAUUCCUUCUGACUCUCGUUGGUUCUAUCACACAAGCGGCUUCCAAACCUACCUUUAAGGUUCAGGCACAAAAGCUUCAGGAAGUCAAGCGUCUGUUUUCAAGAUGGGUAUAAAGGACCGUACUAGCUUGCAGAGAAAUGGCUGCACUUUCAUAGACACAGAAGAAGGCUCCUACCCAACAGUCAGGGGUCAGAUCUCCAAAACGAGCCCUACAAUCAGCCUUCCAGAGUUGGCCUGGAGUGCUCACCCUUCGCUCGCCUCGUUAGAAGAAUCCCAUGCACACGCUGAAGCCAGCUGAGAAUCCCUGCUAAGCUUUCGGCUGGGAGAAGCAAAGUUGGAUCCCUGCCUAAAUCCCUGGGAGAGCCCACGCUCUGUUGCCAGCACCUUGACUGGAACAUCAAUAUUGGACAUCUGGCCUCGGACCUAGGAAAGAACCAAUCUACACGAGCCAGUAUUGUCGCCAGCGUGUGAACAAAGAGAGCCGACUCCUGGGUAGAGCAGCACACUCCAAGGCAUAGGCAUGGGACAGAGCCAGGUAUGGACCACAUCCAUGUCACCUUCUAAAAAUGCCUUACUGGCUCCAACGAACCGACACAUGGCUCGUUAGCCUUCAGGAAGAAUCUAGAAAUGCUGCCCCAGUAACAUUCAGCAAGCAGAGGGAGCUCUCGGCCUGUCCAUCGACAGUGACACUGUCACCAUGGCGGCCCUCUACCCUCCAUCCUCUUCAGCAUUGAAGCUGUUACGGCUUUAAUGUAAGACAUCUCAGGUCCACGCGAUGGGACAGUCUCCACCUUGUGGCACUGCUUUGGGAGGUUGUGAACCGUGACAUGAUGGGGUCUGGCCGGAGGAUGUGGGUCACUAAAUAAACAGGCUUUGAGGUUUAACUAGUGGCUCCAAGUCAACUCCUCUGCCCUUGAUUUGCUGAGGUGUGAGCAAGCUCUUCCUGCCACAGAGCUGCCUGCCACCGCGACGCCUCCACCAUGUCUCCUAAAACAAGAUAAGCCUCUUCUAAACUGCUUCAAAGCCCUUGACAACUGCACCAGGCAAAAGAGCUAUGUAAGGAAAAGCCGUAGCUGGCCUUCCCUAAGGCAUCUCUCAUUUCACUGUAACCCCAGAACUGCUGCUAGCAUCCCGAAGUGUGCAUUAUGUGCCUACCCCGGUGGUGCUCCUGACAAGCUGCUACUAGAAACCAGACAUGGAGGAUUAUGGGUAAUGGAGGUUCUCAAUGAACACAUCACUCACCAUUCAAGUCUGAAAUACACCUCCACCUCCACACUUCACUAUAAUACCAACCCAAUUAAUAACGAUCGGUGGGAAUUAUGAAACAUCUGUUGAACAUACUGGUGUGGAGACCAGGAUUCUACUCAGGAAAGGAUGCAGUGACAGCUACCAGAAGGGCACAGUACCCUGUGAAAUAAUCACCGAAGACUUGAAAUGAUACUCAACUUGUGAUGCCUGAUCACGAGGGACAUGCAAAUCAAGCCACAAUGUGAUAUCAUUCCAGUCACUCAGACGGCCAUCAUCAGAGCACAGGGGGCGGGGUGGGGGGGAUGCGUGACAAGGCUGUGGAGAAAUCGGAGCCCUUGUUGGGCAACCUUGGAAACAGCAUGUGGUGUAUCAGGAAAUUCAGUAUAGAAGCCACUGCAAUCCGUCAAUCCCUCAUCUGGGUUAAGACCUGAAGGACGUGAAUGGAUACUUGUGCGCCUGAUUGAUAGAAGCAUUGUUCACAGAAGUCAACAGAUAGAAGGAUGGCUGGGAGAUGCCUCCCUCACACGCUGGGCCACGACUGCUCUUGCAGAGGACAUGGUUUUGGUUCCCAGCACCCACACUGGCCAGCUAACAAACCCCUGUAAGUCUAGCUCCAGGAAAUCCAGUGUUCUCUGCCGGCUUCUGAAGGCACCUACAUUUGUGUGCACAUACUCUCACAUAUAUAAUAAAAACUAAUAAUAAUCA
Non-coding RNA from Rattus norvegicus (Norway rat), 3282 nucleotides. The record is from RefSeq and is a predicted model, not a curated record. Lineage: Eukaryota; Metazoa; Chordata; Mammalia; Rodentia; Muridae.